RNAcentral lists this ribosomal RNA (924 nucleotides) under Calileuctra ephemera. RNAcentral describes it as "partial 28S ribosomal RNA". It matches the Rfam family "Eukaryotic large subunit ribosomal RNA", at positions 652 to 1860 of the family's 3401-position model. The record is from RNAcentral. Lineage: Eukaryota; Metazoa; Arthropoda; Insecta; Plecoptera; Leuctridae.
UCUUGAAGCACGGACCAAGGAGUCUAACAUGUGCGCGAGUCAUUGGGACCGUACGAAACCUAAAGGCGUAAUGAAAGUGAAGGCCUGCGCGCGCUUCGGCGGCGCGCAGGCGGAGGGGGGAUGUCGGCCGUCCACAGCGACGCGCGCGACCGCACCCCCGGGGCGUCUCGUUGUCAUCGCGACACAGAAGGCGCACCCAGAGCGUACACGUUGGGACCCGAAAGAUGGUGAACUAUGCCUGGCCAGGUCGAAGUCCUGGCGCUCGGAGGCGAAAGGGUAGUAGAAAUGCCACCCGUCUACCAGUCUCAUCUGGUAAAGCGAAUGAUUAGAGGCCUUGGGGCCGAAACGACCUCAACCUAUUCUCAAACUUUAAAUGGGUGAGAUGAUCAUCUUGCUUGAAGCAUGAAGUCGAUCUUCCGUACUCUGUACGGAAAGCAAAGGAUGAACGAGUGCCAAGUGGGCCAAUUUUGGUAAGCAGAACUGGUGCUGUGGGAUGAACCAAACGUCGAGUUAAGSSSCCMAAAUCGAUGCUCAUGGGAUACCAUGAAAGGCGUUGGUUGCUUAAGACGAUGUUGAUGCGCGUCUUUAGCAAAAUCCAAUGAUUUUCCGACCGCAUCGGGCGAAAGGGAAUCCGGUUCCUAUUCCGGAACCCGGCCGCGGAACCGACCAUGCGGGCCAACCUGCAGCAAUGCAGGACUCGUCGGGGUAACCCAAAAGGACCCGGAGACGCCGUCGGACGAUCGAGGCAGAGUUAUCUGUUCUGUAUGAGCGUUCGAGUUCCCUGGAAUCGCCUAGCGCGGAGAUAGGGUUUGGAACGCGAAGAGCACCGCACUUGCGGCGGUGUCUCGAUCCGUCCCUCGGACCUUGAAAAUCCGGGAGAGGGCCACGUGGAGGAGUCGCGCCGGUUCGUACCCAUAUCCGCAG